RNAcentral lists this ribosomal RNA (703 nucleotides) under uncultured Flavobacterium sp. RNAcentral's name for it is "bacterial SSU rRNA". It matches the Rfam family "Bacterial small subunit ribosomal RNA", at positions 567 to 1277 of the family's 1533-position model. Lineage: Bacteria; Pseudomonadati; Bacteroidota; Flavobacteriia; Flavobacteriales; Flavobacteriaceae. The record is from RNAcentral.
GUCCGUAGGCGGCUUAAUAAGUCAGUGGUGAAAUCCCUACGCUUAACGUAGGAACGGCCAUUGAUACUGUUAGGCUUGAAUUAUUAGGAAGUAACUAGAAUAUGUAGUGUAGCGGUGAAAUGCUUAGAGAUUACAUGGAAUACCAAUUGCGAAGGCAGGUUACUACUAAUGGAUUGACGCUGAUGGACGAAAGCGUGGGUAGCGAACAGGAUUAGAUACCCUGGUAGUCCACGCCGUAAACGAUGGAUACUAGCUGUUGGGAGCAAUCUCGGUGGCUAAGCGAAAGUGAUAAGUAUCCCACCUGGGGAGUACGAACGCAAGUUUGAAACUCAAAGGAAUUGACGGGGGCCCGCACAAGCGGUGGAGCAUGUGGUUUAAUUCGAUGAUACGCGAGGAACCUUACCAAGGCUUAAAUGUAGUUUGACCGAUUUGGAAACAGAUCUUUCGCAAGACAAAUUACGAGGUGCUGCAUGGUUGUCGUCAGCUCGUGCCGUGAGGUGUCAGGUUAAGUCCUAUAACGAGCGCAACCCCUGUUGUUAGUUGCCAGCGAGUCAAGUCGGGAACUCUAACAAGACUGCCAGUGCAAACUGUGAGGAAGGUGGGGAUGACGUCAAAUCAUCACGGCCCUUACGCCUUGGGCUACACACGUGCUACAAUGGACGGUACAGAGAGCAGCCACUACGUGAGUAGGAGCGAAUCUACA